Molecule: ribosomal RNA, 323 nt
Filed under: uncultured eukaryote
Lineage: Eukaryota
Description: partial 18S ribosomal RNA
Rfam family: Eukaryotic small subunit ribosomal RNA
Source: RNAcentral
CCCUUAGAUGUUCUGGGCCGCACGCGCGCUACACUGAUGCAUGCAACGAGUUCUAUCCUUGGCCGGAAGGCCUGGGUAAUCUGUGAACGUGCAUCGUGAUAGGGACAGAUUAUUGCAAUUAUUAAUCUUGAACGAGGAAUUCCUAGUAAACGCAAGUCAUCAGCUUGCAUUGAUUACGUCCCUGCCCUUUGUACACACCGCCCGUCGCACCUACCGAUCGAAGGUAAUGAUGAGCCCUCAGGAUUGUGGCCUCGUCGCGUCAGCGUCUUGGCUGCGAGAAUCUGUGCAAAUCCCUACCUUUAGAGGAAGGUGAAGUCGUAACA